This 519-nucleotide ribosomal RNA is filed under the name Colletotrichum pseudomajus. RNAcentral describes it as "eukaryotic LSU rRNA". The stretch from base 169 to 322 matches the Rfam family "5.8S ribosomal RNA". The record is from RNAcentral. Lineage: Eukaryota; Fungi; Ascomycota; Sordariomycetes; Glomerellales; Glomerellaceae.
AGGGAUCAUUACUGAGUUACCGCUCUAUAACCCUUUGUGAACAUACCUAACUGUUGCUUCGGCGGACGGCUCCCGGGCCCCCGGCCCCGCUCUGCGGGGUGUCCGCCGGAGGAUAACCAAACUCUGAUUUAACGACGUUUCUUCUGAGUGGCACAAGCAAAUAAUCAAAACUUUUAACAACGGAUCUCUUGGUUCUGGCAUCGAUGAAGAACGCAGCGAAAUGCGAUAAGUAAUGUGAAUUGCAGAAUUCAGUGAAUCAUCGAAUCUUUGAACGCACAUUGCGCCCGCCAGCAUUCUGGCGGGCAUGCCUGUUCGAGCGUCAUUUCAACCCUCAAGCACUGCUUGGCGUUGGGGCUCUACGGUUGACGUAGGCCCUCAAAGGUAGUGGCGGACCCUCUCGGAGCCUCCUUUGCGUAGUAACUUUUGUCUCGCACUGGGAUUCGGAGGGACUCUAGCCGUUAAACCCCCAAUUUUCCAAAGGUUGACCUCGGAUCAGGUAGGAAUACCCGCUGAACUUAA